CCCUAUGGGGUGCAGCAGGCUUUUUCUAAGGCCGUCGCGCUUAAUCCCGUUAAUGACCGGAUCCACGGCGGGAUAGCGACCGUGUUUUGCCAGACCGGCAACCCGGAUUCACUUAAGGAAUAUUGGGCAAAAGCUAAUAUGCUUCGAGAAGAAUUUUAUGCCCCUGAGACAGCCGAGAAUUACCGCGCGAUAGAAAAGGUGCUCAGGUACAGGUCGAUCCGCCUGGUGUGCGUUCAAUAUCCGGUUCGCAGCGCAAAACCGCUUGCGCACAUAUUCGCAGGGCAGAAAGGGGUCAUUUUUGUCGAUAACGAAGAAGUAUUCAAGCGGGCCAUCGAAGAAGAAGGCUACAGCGCCUACUUCAGGGAUAUGUUUGCCGGGGACUUCGGCCAUUGUACCGAAAAAGGCAAUAAGCUAUUGGCGGGAGGGC
Molecule: ribosomal RNA, 427 nt
Filed under: uncultured prokaryote
Description: partial 16S ribosomal RNA
Source: RNAcentral